Molecule: ribosomal RNA, 592 nt
Filed under: Epiverta sp. COL3603
Lineage: Eukaryota; Metazoa; Arthropoda; Insecta; Coleoptera; Coccinellidae
Description: SSU rRNA
Rfam family: Eukaryotic small subunit ribosomal RNA
Source: RNAcentral
CGGCUACCACAUCCAAGGAAGGCAGCAGGCGCGCAAAUUACCCACUCCCGGCACGGGGAGGUAGUGACGAAAAAUAACGAUACGGGACUCAUCCGAGGCCCCGUAAUCGGAAUGAGUACACUCUAAACCCUUUAACGAGGAUCAAUUGGAGGGCAAGUCUGGUGCCAGCAGCCGCGGUAAUUCCAGCUCCAAUAGCGUAUAUUAAAGUUGUUGCGGUUAAAAAGCUCGUAGUCGAAUUUGUGUCUCGCGCCGCCGGUUCAUCGUUCGCGGUGUCAACUGGCGUGUCGCGAGACGUCCUGCCGGCGGGCUUUGGUUCGCAAGAGCCGAGCCCAACCAGAUCCCGCCGCGGUGCUCUUGAUUGAGUGUCGAGGUGGGCCGGCACGUUUACUUUGAACAAAUUAGAGUGCUUAAAGCAGGCUAAAAUUUCGCCUGAAUACUGUGUGCAUGGAAUAAUGAAACAGGACCUCGGUUCUAUUUUGUUGGUUUUCGGAACCCCGAGGUAAUGAUUAACAGGAACGGAUGGGGGCAUUCGUAUUGCGACGUUAGAGGUGAAAUUCUUGGAUCGUCGCAAGACGGACAGAAGCGAAAGCAU